RNAcentral lists this long non-coding RNA (1297 nucleotides) under Ananas comosus (pineapple). RNAcentral describes it as "long non-coding RNA (ACOM_LNC008153)". The record is from RNAcentral. Lineage: Eukaryota; Viridiplantae; Streptophyta; Magnoliopsida; Poales; Bromeliaceae.
GAGGAGUACUCUAAUUGGUUUAACAGUUGGUAGGCAAUGAAGCAAACUAAUUUAGAAAAAUAACUCAAACUUUUAUAUAGUUUAGGAUUUAAAAUUUUAAAUUUUGAAGUUGAAAAUUUAAAAAUAAAUUAAAAUUUCAAUAUACAAAAUUUGAAAAUUUAUAAUAUAAAAUAUUAAAACCCUAUAUAUAUAUAUAUUAUAUAUGUAGGGAGAGAGAGGAGAGGAGGGUUUUAGAGAACAGAUGUACCCUCCCAAACCCUUCUUUAAUAUGGAAGAAAGAAUAUUCCAAAUGCAUCCAAGAUAUUUUUAUAGACCAUUCAUAUGUCUAUAAUCAAUGGUCUACGGUGCACCGGAUGUACCGAAUAGUAAAACCGGAUAUAUGUCAAUAAAAGAAAACUAUCCCACUCACUUUAGUAUAAAGCAAUAGAUGUAUAAGUAACAAUAGCUAUCUAUAGAAUAGCUAAUACAUGACAAAAGUACAAGGGCAUUAACUAACAGGAUAAAGAUUACAAUAUCUAACUUUGAGAAAGAUUAAUUCCCCAAAUUUAUUACCACCAACGUAAUUUAAAAAAAUGACCAAAAAAAAUUGAUGAAAUUAAAAAUUAUUAUAUAGGCACUUCGAUUCUUCAAGAAAUCAGAAGUGCUAGUUAAAGAGCAGAAACCAUUAUUUCGUGAAGAGUGCGAAUGUUGAACUUGACGAUCAGUACUGUUCACAUAGCAAAGCUGAUCACAUUCAAUGUAUCUGAUUCGCAGUCGCUGAGACGAUUAGUGCUCGAUUAAUAUAUACCAAGGCCCAAGUACUGCUUAUUAUCCUCUCUAAUUCCUCUUUCCUUUAGCUGCUUCCAAGAUUCUCUCAAAUGAUUCCUUCAUGUAAGAAUUGAGAAGCUGGGAAUUUAUGAAGCCUUUCUCAACUCCCAAGGCAACCUUCAGCUUCCCCAUGUAGCUCACCACAGUUAUUGUUAGGCUCUGCAACAGAGUUAAUGUAUACAUAUAAGCAAGCCAUAUAUAUAUACUAAUCAGCAGAUCUAGCAGAUAAAUUACAGAUUUGGGUAAAUUCAAGUGUCUAAGAUCACCAAAAAAAAAAAAAAAAAAAAAAGAGUGUAAAUUUUCGACCCAAUGAUAUUAACAGAAUGUUUUUAUGUACUAAUUAAGUGCGGAUCCGAUUUAUCGAUGUCGGUUAAAUCCAACUAGCGAAUUAACAUCUUCUUUGGUAAUAGUACCACCCAAAUUUCCACUCAUUUAUUACAAAUCGCCAUCUCUGCUAAUAUAAAAUACUGAAAUAGUACUGUUCUCAGNN